RNAcentral lists this ribosomal RNA (498 nucleotides) under uncultured bacterium. RNAcentral's name for it is "partial 16S ribosomal RNA". It matches the Rfam family "Bacterial small subunit ribosomal RNA", at positions 29 to 523 of the family's 1533-position model. The record is from RNAcentral.
AUUGAACGCUGGCGGCAUGCCUUACACAUGCAAGUCGAACGGUAACGCGGGGCAACCUGGCGACGAGUGGCGAACGGGUGAGUAAUGCAUCGGAACGUGCCCGGUAGUGGGGGAUAACUGCCCGAAAGAGCAGCUAAUACCGCAUACGACCUGAGGGUGAAAGGGGGGGAUCGCAAGACCUCUCGCUAUCGGAGCGGCCGAUGUCGGAUUAGCUAGUUGGUGGGGUAAAAGCCAACCAAGGCGACGAUCCGUAGCUGGUCUGAGAGGACGACCAGCCACACUGGGACUGAGACACGGCCCAGACUCCUACGGGAGGCAGCAGUGGGGAAUUUUGGACAAUGGACGCAAGUCUGAUCCAGCCAUGCCGCGUGCGGGAAGAAGGCCUUCGGGUUGUAAACCGCUUUUGUCAGGGAAGAAAUCUUCUGAGUUAAUACCUCGGGAGGAUGACGGUACCUGAAGAAUAAGCACCGGCUAACUACGUGCCAGCCGCCGCCGUAA